This 148-nucleotide non-coding RNA is filed under the name Chlorocebus sabaeus (green monkey). The record is from Rfam by way of RNAcentral. Lineage: Eukaryota; Metazoa; Chordata; Mammalia; Primates; Cercopithecidae.
GCCAGGUGUGGUGGUGUGCACCUGUAGUCCCAGCUACUUGGGAGGCUGAGGUGGGAGGAUCACUUGAGCCCAGGAGUUUGAGGCUGCAGUGAGCUGUGAUCAUGCCACUGUGAUCCAGCCUGGGUGACAGAGCAAGACCCCAUCUCUA